AUGCAAGUCGAACGGUAGAGGGGGCAACCCCUCGAGAGUGGCGAACGGGUGAGUAAUAUAUCGGAACGUGCCCAGUCGUGGGGGAUAACGUAGCGAAAGUUACGCUAAUACCGCAUACGAUCUACGGAUGAAAGCGGGGGAUCGCAAGACCUCGCGCGAUUGGAGCGGCCGAUAUCAGAUUAGGUAGUUGGUGGGGUAAAGGCUCACCAAGCCAACGAUCUGUAGCUGGUCUGAGAGGACGACCAGCCACACUGGAACUGAGACACGGUCCAGACUCCUACGGGAGGCAGCAGUGGGGAAUUUUGGACAAUGGACGCAAGUCUGAUCCAGCCAUUCCGCGUGCAGGAUGAAGGCCCUCGGGUUGUAAACUGCUUUUGUACGGAACGAAAAGGUCUCUCCUAAUACGAGGGGCUCAUGACGGUACCGUAAGAAUAAGCACCGGCUAACUACGUGCCAGCAGCCGCGGUAAUACGUAGGGUGCAAGCGUUAAUCGGAAUUACUGGGCGUAAAGCGUGCGCAGGCGGUUAUGUAAGACAGAGGUGAAAUCCCCGGGCUCAACCUGGGAACGGCCUUUGUGACUGCAUAGCUAGAGUACGGUAGAGGGGGAUGGAAUUCCGCGUGUAGCAGUGAAAUGCGUAGAUAUGCGGAGGAACACCGAUGGCGAAGGCAAUCCCCUGGACCUGUACUGACGCUCAUGCACGAAAGCGUGGGGAGCAAACAGGAUUAGAUACCCUGGUAGUCCACGCCCUAAACGAUGUCAACUGGUUGUUGGGGUCU
RNAcentral lists this ribosomal RNA (777 nucleotides) under uncultured Curvibacter sp. Its description in RNAcentral is "bacterial SSU rRNA". It matches the Rfam family "Bacterial small subunit ribosomal RNA", at positions 55 to 831 of the family's 1533-position model. Lineage: Bacteria; Pseudomonadati; Pseudomonadota; Betaproteobacteria; Burkholderiales; Comamonadaceae. The record is from RNAcentral.